UAUUGAUGCUCUUCUUCAGCACUAACACACAUCUAAUGUGAGGGAAGGAUAUCCUUGUUUAGAUUUGCUCACUCCUACAUCCUCUGCAUUUAGCAAUCUGCCAGGGAGCAGGUGCAGCAUCUGACAAAUGCCUUGCUGCAGUUUCCGCCUCCUCUGCAUCCCUUCAGCUUCUGUUUUUUAGUGGAUUGAUAUAUGGGGUCUCCCAUGUGAGCAUUGCAGAUGGAGGGCUGUGAGGCUGAGGCAUCUACACUGCUUUACAACCAGCAUUACAGCACAAGAGUGGUCUUACAGCAGUGAUACAUCCCGAAUCUGAGCUGUGUGAUGAAGCGAGGCCGCACGGCAGUCAUCACCCAUUCCUACAGCAGGCUUCCAAAUACAAACUGAAAAUAUAGCAUCAGGACAGUGGUUUCACCCAAGUCAGGUUCACAGGUCUAUCCACCAUCUGGAGCAAUUACAAGGUGGCUGGAAAGCCAUGGAAAUACUGUUCCCAAAGAAAGGACGUCCACUAGUGGAGGCACGGGUCCAUCCCAGAACCCUCACUCAUACCUCCAGGACAGUGAUGUGCUUCUCCACUAAGAUGCAGAAUGGAAGGGUCUGAGGACCUGAUGUUAACAUUUUUAGACAGAACCAGUUCAGAAGUGUUGGGGAAGCUGUGGAUGUUGAAAGCUGGUCGAAGAAAGCAUUUUCACUCCUGUUUUCCCUGAAACUGGAUCACAUACAAGAAUUCAAGAACUCAGCUGCUGCUAAUUAACUUUUCUGUUAGUUUGCUGUCGCAUCUGACUUAUCUCAAGACGGACCUUCACUGUCAGUGCAUUGCUUCUUUCUCUGUUGUGGAACUCAGCAACUUUGUCCUCAGGGUCACUUACCUCUAUCAGCAGCUUUUCAUUACUGUACCUACAGUAAGCUGGCUCAUCUGCUCUGAUGUUAUCCGAUAAAACCUGACCACAACGCCUGCCUCACAGGUGACCUGACGUAAGGAGCAGUGCACCAUUCAGCCCUGGAAGUAUCCAUUUUGAUAGAGUUGUUUGAAAAAAAUAGAAAAAAAGAAAAGACCUCAUUGCCAACGGGCUUUGCUGGAGCUUUUGUGGGGAUAAUUGUGUAGAAUUUGUCUUGUUUGCUGUCUGUCUGGAGUACAGGAACAUAUAGGCAUACAGCUUUAUUGGUAACAUCUUACAUUCCCUUACAUGUAGCUUCUAUCCGCCUCACUGAGGGUAAAAUCUAACAGUAUGAUGAGGGACCCACCAUGAGGAAAAACAUUUCUGACCAUUUUUACCUUUUACGUGGCACCUACUGUGGUCACACAUGCAUGCCUUCGUUGCUCUUAGUCUUGUACUGGACUGUGGUGUGAGUGCCUUAUUCUGAAUAUGGGCAGUGAAAAAGCAGCUCCCAGCAGUGCCAUCCAUGUAGUACCCUCACCUUCUCCUAACCACAGCACCCGUAGGGCAGACAAAGAUCUCACCUGAUUUCUAGAUAGGCUCUGUGUGAUUUUCUUUAAGGUGCUUUAACAAUUUCACU
Molecule: long non-coding RNA, 1515 nt
Organism: Gallus gallus (chicken)
Lineage: Eukaryota; Metazoa; Chordata; Aves; Galliformes; Phasianidae
Source: Ensembl